UGCAGUCGAGCGGACCGACGGGAGCUUGCUCCCUUAGGUCAGCGGCGGACGGGUGAGUAACACGUGGGUAACCUGCCUGUAAGACUGGGAUAACUCCGGGAAACCGGGGCUAAUACCGGAUGCUUGAUUGAACCGCAUGGUUCAAUCAUAAAAGGUGGCUUUUAGCUACCACUUACAGAUGGACCCGCGGCGCAUUAGCUAGUUGGUGAGGUAACGGCUCACCAAGGCGACGAUGCGUAGCCGACCUGAGAGGGUGAUCGGCCACACUGGGACUGAGACACGGCCCAGACUCCUACGGGAGGCAGCAGUAGGGAAUCUUCCGCAAUGGACGAAAGUCUGACGGAGCAACGCCGCGUGAGUGAUGAAGGUUUUCGGAUCGUAAAACUCUGUUGUUAGGGAAGAACAAGUACCGUUCGAAUAGGGCGGCACCUUGACGGUACCUAACCAGAAAGCCACGGCUAACUACGUGCCAGCAGCCGCGGUAAUACGUAGGUGGCAAGCGUUGUCCGGAAUUAUUGGGCGUAAAGCGCGCGCAGGCGGUUUCUUAAGUCUGAUGUGAAAGCCCCCGGCUCAACCGGGGAGGGUCAUUGGAAACUGGGGAACUUGAGUGCAGAAGAGGAGAGUGGAAUUCCACGUGUAGCGGUGAAAUGCGUAGAGAUGUGGAGGAACACCAGUGGCGAAGGCGACUCUCUGGUCUGUAACUGACGCUGAGGCGCGAAAGCGUGGGGAGCGAACAGGAUUAGAUACCCUGGUAGUCCACGCCGUAAACGAUGAGUGCUAAGUGUUAGAGGGUUUCCGCCCUUUAGUGCUGCAGCAAACGCAUUAAGCACUCCGCCUGGGGAGUACGGUCGCAAGACUGAAACUCAAAGGAAUUGACGGGGGCCCGCACAAGCGGUGGAGCAUGUGGUUU
This 910-nucleotide ribosomal RNA is filed under the name Bacillus licheniformis. RNAcentral's name for it is "bacterial SSU rRNA". It matches the Rfam family "Bacterial small subunit ribosomal RNA", at positions 56 to 947 of the family's 1533-position model. The record is from RNAcentral. Lineage: Bacteria; Bacillati; Bacillota; Bacilli; Caryophanales; Bacillaceae.